UGAUAUGAAUAGGUCUGGGUUCUACUUGUUGAAUAAUUCACAUAGACUUUAUUCAGCUUUCAUUCGAGGUAUCUGAGAUACUACUGGAAAAUUACUGUCUAGAGUCAGAAUCAACAACAGAUCAUGAGUAAACAACGAAGCUACCCGCGAACUAGUUUCCAGAUUUUCAAUUUUCUCAAGGAUGCUCCAGAAAGCAUAGCUAUAACCGACUCAAAGUGUGUAAGGACUAUUUAUUCGCUAGGCACGGCUAGUGGUCAGUUGCUGACGGAUUCAUCUGAGGUCAGACUGAAUCAAUUUACAUAUUAGUUGUCCAAGAUCCGGUUGACCGCACUGAUAGCUCGACGUCGUGGCUGUAGCACUUUGGCAUUUCAUUGUGCGACGGAAGCGUCUUAGAAUGUACCCACUUGCCAAACGCGGCCAUCCCUCGUCUCGUAGUCCUAUGCGUCAUAGUAUCCUUUUCACUUGUGUGGACAAACAGAUCACAUACACGCCGACGCCUCAGUGCCUUAAACAGCUACAGAAUCUUGACACGGCUUGCAAACUCUCAGGCGAGUUUGAUCGUCUGCCGUGGAGGAACACAAGGAAUUUUCUGAACGUCCUAUUUCUGAGAUGAUUUUCUGCUAUUCUAAAUGCUCCUUCUUAAAUAACGUACGUGAUAUGGACGGAUUCCUAAUAGCAAGACCCUGCAAGGUGUCUCCGUGUCCUUCUAUUGCCUUUAAUAAGAUUUUUCCUUUGUCUUCUCCGGUUCCGAAAAACGAUAUAUAUUGACACAUUUGAUCAACCAUAGUACACCCAUUUCCAUUGAUGUUGGUCAACCUUGAGAAAUGCCUUGUGCCUUUGAACGGCGCUAUAUAUCGACCAUGUCGUUGUUUACAGCAAAAAUACGCUUGAAGCUCAAUUACGUUUAUGGCACGUGCAGGAAACCUAUCUUUAUCACAUCGGAGGCGUACUAUUAUUGACCAUCUGUUUUCCUUUACGAACGAUCUUCUCAUCGCUUCAAAGUUAACAGUUCGUACAAGGCGACAUUUUCGCUAUGUAGAAGAAAACAGUUGAGGUGCCAUGGGAGAAUAUAGCCGGCGGAAUCGACAUAACUGGUCUGCUGAUAUCCUUUUUCCCCAUGGAUGUUCGCCUCAUUUAGACACAGCAGUGGAGGUGGUUGGGGACGUUCGUGACGUCUGUAUUAUAGGUCGGAUCGGUGGCUGAGAUAGGUGUAUUUUUCUAUCAUUUCAGUUUGGUUUUUGUUGCUUGCGUCGAAAACUACCACCAGCGGCGGUGCUACUUCAGUCGUCGUCGAAUACAACGAACGUUACAAACUUGACACAGAAAAGAAGCGCUGAUGGGUGGGUUGUGACGGGAAUGAUGUUGGGAAUUAGAACGCAAGCAGGAUUGUCGGGGCAGAUGCUCAGCAGUUGGUAUGACGGAAAGUCUGUAUCGACGCUACAAUAGUUUCAGCAGGGAGAGGAAAUUUGACGAAGAGAGCAUCGCUAACAUGUGGCCUGCGCGGCUUGUGAUGCGUCGAGAUGUUAGAGUAGGGCGUUUGGCUUAAGUGACUAAGCUCUAGGAGAAGGCAUGAGAUGACGGGGGGAGUAGCACCUUCACUCGUAACAAUGUUACCUUCGGCGCUAAGUCAUCCGCUUAGAGACGCCGUUUAUAGAGCGUUUUGUGGAUGGCGCGACGCAAAAUAGGUCUCUGCAGGUGGGUGAGCGUGGAUGAUGAGACGGUGCAGCGAUAGUCAACGAAAUGCGCUCAUGGCUUCGACAGCAGGACAGCUAAGUGGGUCUGACAAUGGCGAGUCCUGCGUGAGGACUCACCAUUGUCAGUUUAAGAGAGGCGGUCUUCUAAGAGAGACGACGGCUAGUUAGGAGUUACAACAGCCGUAGCAAAAAACCAAUUUAAUGUUAGCCAAAAAGCGAUGCAAUUUUAUGCGAUUUAGUACACUACAGGUUAGCCGCUGUACCGGAGACAAAUCUUUUGGUUGUCUGUUAGGGGCGAAACGUAGAGUUUGGGGCAGCUUAAUUAAGGACAGAUAGACAAAAAGAUUUUCCACCAAGAAGACGCCACCGUCCGACAUCGUUGGUCACAUCUGCUGCGCCUGUCGCAGAGUUAGUAACACGUAAGGCAUCGAAGACGGUGGAGCGUUACGCACUAACCUCUAUCUCUACGAAGCGUAUGGCAAAGAAUUCAAGAGGAGUUUGAGAAAUGAGCUUGCAAAGUAGCAUAUUCUCUACACAUAUGAACGGAGAUGUGGCAAGGGCUCACGCACAGUUAUACGAUGUACCUGAUUGUCGACCUGCGUUGAAAAAGGAGAAAGGUACACAUGACGAUAAAAAAAACAAUAAGCCUCAACCUAUACACAGGCCAAACUUGACAUCUGUCAGUAAUCUGUGACACUAUGGUAUGACAAAACUAUAAUAUACGUACCGGAAUAGCUAUAUAUAUUUUCCGUGUAAGAUGUUUGACAUUUUAAGUAAAGAAACAGAGCAAAAAAAAUUGUAGACCGCCCAUUCAUCUACUAAUUGGCAUGGAGCAUUGAUUAUGCAUUUCUGUAUGUCGAGAGCGGGCGGUUCGUCUGAUCCAGAGUCAGAAAUAUGGUGUGAUAUGUCAAUAGGGUCUAGGCCGCCAAUACACAUUGCUGAGUCGUCUGUGAUAGUAAUCGUGAGCAACAAGCGUGCCAGUUACCACUGGUUCGAAUCUCGGCAUUGACAGAUGAUUCCAAAGGCUUUACGAAGAAGACAACAGUAAAAACCAGUUAAUACUGCAGAACCAUUUUAUACAGACGUACACAAAUUCGGCGUUGGGCCUGGGCUUGUGGGAAUGUUAUACCUAGAUGUCCCUGUGUACGAGGUGGGUCUCUUGUCGCCGGGACUCAUACUUACAAUUCAUCACUCGUAUCGUAAAUAGGGUGACCUCGUCAGAGUCGU
Molecule: long non-coding RNA, 2921 nt
Filed under: Varroa destructor (honeybee mite)
Lineage: Eukaryota; Metazoa; Arthropoda; Arachnida; Mesostigmata; Varroidae
Description: uncharacterized LOC111249701
Source: RNAcentral